UCUCUUCGGAGCAUCGGUGACAGGUGGUGCAUGGUUGUCGUCAGCUCGUGUCGUGAGAUGUUGGGUUAAGUCCCGCAACGAGCGCAACCCCUGUUCUUAGUAGCCAGCGGUUCGGCCGGGCACUCUAGGGAGACUGCCAGGGAUAACCUGGAGGAAGGCGGGGAUGACGUCAAAUCAUCAUGCCCCUUAUGACUUGGGCUACACACGUGCUACAAUGGCGUAAACAAAGGGAAGCGGAGCCGCGAGGCCGAGCAAAUCUCAAAAAUAACGUCUCAGUUCGGACUGUAGUCUGCAACCCGACUACACGAAGCUGGAAUCGCUAGUAAUCGCAGAUCAGAAUGCUGCGGUGAAUACGUUCCCGGGUCUUGUACACACCGA
Molecule: ribosomal RNA, 378 nt
Filed under: uncultured bacterium
Lineage: Bacteria
Description: bacterial SSU rRNA
Rfam family: Bacterial small subunit ribosomal RNA
Source: RNAcentral